AAGCCAGAGGAAGCGGUGAAGCGAGAGGUCCACGCCUGUCAAAAUCUGUCCACGUGGGAAUACCACGAUAAGCUGCCUUUGGUUCAACGACUCUCAUUGUUAGGGUGGAGACAAGACCAUCUCGUCAUUAUAUACAGUAUCUCUGGUAAAGUUUAGUUUUUUCCCCCCUGUGACUUGACUCGUUGAAUUUGUAAAUUCAUUUGGAUAGUUUUUAUUUUAGACACAGCAAAGAAAGAAAACACAUUUCAAGUAUUUUGUUUUUGGAGAUAUAAAGGACAGAUCACAGUUAUGAGGCUGUACGCGUUGAACUUUACAAGAAUGUAUUUAUCGUGUGUGUGUUCAUGAUUUGUGUGUGUCUAUCUGUGUCUGUGUCUCAUCUCGGGGAUGGAGAGCGAGAGUCCUUGAAUAGCUUGCUGAUAUCAAUGUCAGAGUCUUUCAUGUGAGGAUGGAUGUCCAUAUCGAUGCCACUGUCCUUACACUGCUGGAGCAGAGUUCUGAUGUUACUCUCAGACAGACGCAGGGGACCUGAGCCCUAGGACCAUGCCUCAGGACUACCUGGCCUGAUGACUCCUUGCUGUCCCCAGUCCACCUGGCUGUGCUGCUGCUCCAGUUUAAACUGUUCUGCCUGUGGCUAGGGAACCCUGACCAGUUCACCAGACGUGCUACCUGUCCCGGACCUGCUGUUUUCUACUCUCUCUCUCCCUCUACCGCACCUUCUGUCUCGACCUCUGAAUGCUCGGCUAUGAAAAGCCAACUGACAUUUACUCCUGAGGUACUGACCUGUUGCACCCUCUACAACCACUGUGAUCAUCUUGAAGAACAAUCUGGCCUUGUACAUGGCCAUGUACUCUUAUAAUCUCCACCUGGCACAGCCAGAAGAGGACUGGCCACCCCUCAGAGCCUGGUUCCUCUCUAGGUUUCUUCCUACGUUCUUGCCUUUCUAGGGAGUUUUUCCAAGCCACCAUGCUUUUACAUCUGCAUUGCUUGCUGUUUGGGGUUUAAGGCUGGGUUUCUGUACAGCACUUUGUGACAUUGGCUGAUUUAAAAAGGGCUUUAUAAAUACAUUUGAUUGAUUGAUUGUAGCAUCAAACCUAAGAUUUGAGUCUGUAAUCACUGCCAAAGGUGCUUCAACAAAGUACUGAGUAAAGGGUCUGAAUACUUAAGAAAAUGUGACAUUUCAGUUUUUUGGGAGGAUAUUUCAGAAUUUUUAGAAUAAGGCUGUAACGUAACAAAAUGUGGAAAAAGUCAAGAGGUCUGAAUACUUUCUGAAGGCACUGUAUAUCUGCUGAUGGUGUUGAAUCAGGUUUCCUGGAUAUUACGAAAGGUGUCCCGCAAUUGGUCGUACUUUUUGCUGUUAACAAUAACAACAUCAACUUGUCUGUCAAAAAAAUGUAACCUGCGCUUGUAUGCCGAUGAUACUGUUGUGUAUGCUAUUGCCCCCACGGUUGACCAGGCUCUGAACUACAGUCUGCCUUCAUUGUAUUACAGGAAAGCUUUAUUGACAUGAAAUUAGUACUGAAUGCAGGUAAAACUAAGUAUAUGUUGUAAUAAAGCGCAUGAAAAUAAGACUGAUUUAAGCAUAUGUAUUGGUGGUGGCCAUAUUGAUCGUGUCCGUGCUUUUAAAUAUCCGAGCAUCUGGAUAGAUGCAAAUCUGUCCUUUGAAAAGCAUAUUGAUGAGUUAAGAAGCUGAGAAUACAAAUGGGCUUCUUCUAUAGAAAUAGGUCCUGCCUCUCGCUAAAUAGUAGAAUGCAGAUUAUUCAGUCGACGUUCCUUUCGUUCCUGGACUAUGGCGACAUCAUCUAAAUGAACGGACCUGCCACUUCAUUAAAGUCGUUAGAUGCAGUUUCUCAUAGCGCACUGAGCUUUAUUACAGGUGGCAAUGUCAGUACUCAUCACAGCAUUCUCUACCAGGAAGUCGGUUGGCCUUCUUUGAUGUCACGUAGGUUGAUACAUUGCUAUAUUUUCAUUUAUGAAGCCCUUUUACAAAAAGUCCCACUGUACCUAAUAUCAUUACUAAACUUUAGACAUAUGACCACACCCAGUCUCAGGUAUAGUUAACUCUGGAAGUUCCUUUGGUUUUUACUGAGUUAGAUAUAUCAGCUUUAAGUUUUCUUGCACCUUAUUUGUGGAACAAUCGUUGAAAUGUUCUUAAAUGUGAGGUUCUCAUGCAUCUAUGGAAAUUCAGAAAGCUGAUUGAGAACUGUAUUAAUGAUGAAUGUGUUUGUUUUUAUGACUGUGUUUUUCUUUCUGCUUGCAGUUUGUAUUUAUAUUUUGAAGUGUGUAUUUUCUGGAAUUCUGUAAAGGAGACCUUGGUAUCAGUAUGACUCCCUGAUCAAAUAAAGGCAACAACAUUUUUUGGGGACUUAACAUCAAAUUUCCAUAAUUUCUAUCCCAUGUGAUCAAAGGUGUGAUCAUUGAAGAUACAGUGCAUUUGGAAAGUAUUCAGACCCCUUCAAUUCUUCCACAUUUUGUUACGUUACAACCGUAUUCUAAAAUGGAUUAAAUUGUUU
Long non-coding RNA from Oncorhynchus tshawytscha (Chinook salmon), 2510 nucleotides. The record is from Ensembl. NCBI's taxonomy places the organism in Eukaryota, Metazoa, Chordata, Actinopteri, Salmoniformes, Salmonidae.